AGGUUCAUAAAAAUGAAGACUCUUCAUUUUCAUGUAACUUAUGUGUUUUAAGUGUGUGUUAAAUGAAAGUGACCUUUGGUAAUCCAUAACUUGAGGACAAAUUAUGGACUCCAUUAAAACACAUAAAUGAUUAAGAAUUAAUUCUAAACAAUUCAGCAAAUAAUUCCUAUCAUUUUCUAAAUUCAUAAGAACAUGAACAUGAUCNAUCCAAAACUUUUCAUUUCAUAACUUAUGAAUUAAAGGUUCAUAAAAAUGAAGACUCUUCAUUUUCAUGUAACUUAUGGUUUUAAAUGUGUGUUAAAGAAAAGUGACCUUUGGAUAUCCAUAACUUGAGGACAAAUUAUGGACUCCAUUAAAACACAUAAAUGAUCAAGAAUUAAUUCCAAACAAUUCAGCAAAUAAUUCCUAUCAUCUUCUAAAUUCAUAAGAACAUGAACAUGAUCAUCAAAAUUUCAAGAAUUAUAUGAACACAUAAAAAUCAUGGAAUUUUGAUAUAUGCUAUUGUAAAUGGAUUAGAACAACCAUUACACCAACUAAAACAAGUUUUAAAACACCAAAACAGUUUAGGGUAAUGUUUCUAGUCCAUUUCGAGCAGCAAAAGUCGGAAAUUUGCACUCUGUGGCUCCUACUUGUCGAGUGCAUGAACCUACUCGGCGAGUAGGUUGAAGAUACACAUGAACUCGGCGAGUCCCCCCAUGGACUCGGCGUGUUCAUCAGGCAGGCAACAAGUUUUUCGACUUUUUCAACUAUUUUGCAUCAAGUAUCAAACAAGCAAGCCUAGGCUCUGAUACCACUGUUGGGUUUUGAGCAAUCUAACACUUCCUAAGUGUGCAUGCAACCCUAAUAAACCUUGGAUCUAUGUUUGUCUAAAUACAUGCAAAAUAAUAAUUUUCCAAGGU
Molecule: long non-coding RNA, 899 nt
Filed under: Lactuca sativa (garden lettuce)
Lineage: Eukaryota; Viridiplantae; Streptophyta; Magnoliopsida; Asterales; Asteraceae
Description: long non-coding RNA (LSAT_LNC008987)
Source: RNAcentral